AAACCUUUCCAUUAUACAAACGAGCCGCAUGCACAGCUGUGCAAUGCACUGUUGUAACUACAGUAAAAGUCCGAUGUUGUAAUUCUGUGUAAAUAAAUGAAUGCACAAGGGAGAAAACACUUGAACCUUAAGGAAUUGUUUAACUUUGCAUUACUUCCCUUUAAUAUUAAUUUUGUCGUCUUAAACAUGACAAAAGACGCGACAGAUACUUGUUGCGAUUUCCGCCUGAUAGGCAAGACGGGUUUUUCACUCGUUAACAAGAAUAUUUACAGAUUUAUACCAUCACUUGCGUCUGUGUACGAAAAGUAUUAUUUUCAUCUGUUUGCGAGCGCCUCUUCACUAGAAGACAGCUUUAAGCACACGGGACAAUGUUUCCAAAAGUCAGACUCUACACCAUGGGGUGUGUUAUGGUUAGUAUUCUGGCCCUAAUACUGGAGCAAACAUCAGGAGUGGAGAUCGUAAACUGCGGUCCUGAUAAGCCCCUAAUAGUGGACAAAAGAUCAACACAUUUUGAGGUCGACUGUGUGAACGUCAACGAAGGGUUCGAGGUCUUCUGGCACUUCAAGUAUACUUAGGGACGAGACCUGGACAUGAAGGCAGCACAUUGUGUAAAGAAAACCAUUGCAGAAACUAUACCCACUAUGUUGACGUUCAUCCAAACUCAUAUAAAAUUGUUGUGAAAUUGCCGGAUUCCUCAUGCGUUAUCGUCUCAAUGGAAUCACUUGCUCAGAACGCAACCCGCAGGGCAUUGGGAAGGUAGCUACACCUGUGGUGUACUUUACCAAUCUCCAAAAAUAUGAUGGAGACGUCACCAAGGGUGACUUUGACUCAAAGCGUCACAAAGGCUGACAACUGGUUGAUGAACGAUGGUCCGAUGACCUCGCCGGUCACUAUGUCGGCAAAGAUUAAAGGCUUUAACAAGAACGAUCAGUCAUGUCAUCGGGCUUUGACUUGCAGAUGCUCUCUGCUUUUCUCUUUUUUGCGUAAAGUGUAUAUAUAAUCAGUUAAUUAACUUUAACGUUAGGACUAACAUAAGCCUUACAGCUUAUCAAUAUAAGUUAAGAGAAGUUUUUUUAUUCAACAGUCUAUUGAUUUGUUGAAGAGUAUUUACAUGACUUCUUUGUUCUAUUAUGCUUUAAUGAGAUUAAAGUUUAAUAAAUUUACUUUGAUAAAAGAC
This is a long non-coding RNA of Pomacea canaliculata, 1177 nucleotides long. RefSeq lists it as uncharacterized. NCBI's taxonomy places the organism in Eukaryota, Metazoa, Mollusca, Gastropoda, Architaenioglossa, Ampullariidae. The record is from RefSeq and is a predicted model, not a curated record. The transcript has 4 exons.